GACAGAGGGUGCGAACGUUGCUCGGAAUGACUGGGCGUAAAGCGCGUGUAGGCGGCCCGGUAAGUCCGCUGUGAAAGUCCAGGGCUCAACCCUGGAAUGCCGGUGGAUACUGUCGGGCUCGAGUCCGGAAGAGGCGAGUGGAAUUCCUGGUGUAGCGGUGAAAUGCGCAGAUAUCAGGAGGAACACCGAUGGCGAAGGCAGCUCGCUGGGACGUGACUGACGCUGAGACGCGAAAGCGUGGGGAGCAAACAGG
This 253-nucleotide ribosomal RNA is filed under the name uncultured bacterium. RNAcentral's name for it is "partial 16S ribosomal RNA". It matches the Rfam family "Bacterial small subunit ribosomal RNA", at positions 524 to 776 of the family's 1533-position model. The record is from RNAcentral.